UACGUAGGGGGCGAGCGUUGUCCGGAUUUACUGGGCGUAAAGGGUGAGUAGGCGGUUAUAUAUGUCAGAUGUAAAAGGCUAUGGCUUAACCAUAGUUAGCAUUUGAAACUGUAUGACUUGAGUGCAGGAGAGGUAAGUGGAAUUCCUAGUGUAGCGGUGAAAUGCGUAGAUAUUAGGAGGAACACCAGUGGCGAAGGCGACUUACUGGACUGUAACUGACGCUGAGGCAUGAAAGUGUGGGGAGCAAACA
RNAcentral lists this ribosomal RNA (250 nucleotides) under uncultured bacterium. RNAcentral's name for it is "partial 16S ribosomal RNA". It matches the Rfam family "Bacterial small subunit ribosomal RNA", at positions 524 to 774 of the family's 1533-position model. The record is from RNAcentral.